UGGUCCAUUUGCGCGCUCCUCAACCACAGCAAAGGAGCGCCGCGUCUCCUCUCUUCCCACCUCUAGCAGCACCUCCAUCAUUGCAAACAAAACGCCGUCUUUUGCGUUUACAAGCAUUGCAGGGCGCACACUCGCAGUCAGUGUGUGUGCGCACAGAAGCCCCCCCCCACGCAUCUUGUGGAUUUCUUUCCCGACCACUCCGCGUACAUGGUGCGCUGUGCUCCACCUCACCAGGAGUUCGUUUCACUUCUCAGAGAAAAAUGUGGCUGGCCGUAGUGACGACAGUUUUGUUGUGUUGGUGUGGAGUCUCCAAGGCUGGCUUUCCAAACCAAAUCAACAUUGGUGGACUCUUCAUGCGCUCCACAGUCCAGGAGCACAGCGCCUUCAGGUUUGCAGUGCAGCUGUACAACACCAACCAGAACGUGACGGAGAAACCCUUCCACCUCAACUACAAUGUUGACAACCUGGAGUCCUCCAACAGCUUCUCUGUCACACAUGCCUUCUGCUCUCAGUUCUCCCGAGGAGUCUAUGCCAUCUUCGGCUUCUAUGAUAGGAAGUCCAUGAACACGCUGACCUCCUUCUGCGGGGCGCUGCACACUUCCUUCAUCACGCCCAGCUUUCCCAUCGAUGCUGACGCGCAGUUUGUCAUCCAGAUGAGGCCCGGCUUGCGAGGUGCCGUUCUCAGCCUUCUGGACCAUUACAAGUGGGAGAAGUUUGUCUACCUUUACGACACUGAUCGAGGUUUUUCCAUCCUCCAGGCCAUCAUGGAGUCAGCAGUGGCUUACAACUGGCAGGUGACGGCUCGCUCUGUGGGGAACAUCGUGGACCCCACUGAGUACAAACGCAUCAUUGAGGAGAUGGACCGCCGGCAGGAGAAACGCUUCCUCAUCGACUGUGAGGUGGAUCGGAUUAACUCCAUACUGGAGCAGGUGGUGACCGCAGGAAAGAACACCAGAGGAUACCACUAUAUCCUUGCCAACCUGGGUUUUUCCAACAUGAGCUUGGACAGGGUCUUUUCCGGUGGCGCCAACAUCACAGGCUUCCAGAUCAUCAGCCCGGAGAGCGCCAUCGUGCAGCAGUUCCUUCAACGCUGGGAGCGUCUUGAUGAAAGAGAAUUCCCAGAAGCCAAAAACGCUCCACUAAAGUACACAUCGGCGCUGACCCACGACGCCAUUCUUGUCAUUGCUGAGGCCUUCCGCUACCUUCGGCGCCAGCGUGUGGACGUGUCCCGCAGGGGCAGUGCAGGCGACUGCCUCGCUAAUCCUGCUGUGCCCUGGAGUCAAGGCAUUGACAUUGAGAGAGCUCUCAAAAUGGUCCAAGUUCAAGGUAUGACAGGAAACAUCCAGUUUGACACAUUUGGUCGAAGGGCUAACUACACAAUCGAUGUGUAUGAAAUGAAGACGGGAGGUCCCAGGAAGAUCGGCUACUGGAAUGAAUAUGAAAAAUUUGUAUAUGUAAUGGAUCAGCAGGUCACCAACGAGUCGUCUUCUGUGGAAAACCGAACAAUUGUGGUCACUACUAUUAUGGAAGCGCCGUAUGUGAUGUACAAGAAAAACUAUAUGCAGCUGGAGGGGAAUGACAGAUAUGAAGGCUACUGUGUCGAUUUAGCUUCUGAAAUUGCCAAACAUGUGGGGAUAAAAUAUAAGCUGUCUGUAGUGCCGGAUGGCAAGUAUGGAGCCAGAGAUCCAGAGACCAAGACUUGGAACGGGAUGGUGGGUGAACUGGUUUAUGGGAGAGCUGACAUAGCCGUGGCUCCUCUCACUAUUACACUGGUACGAGAAGAAGUGAUCGACUUCUCAAAGCCCUUCAUGAGCUUGGGCAUCUCUAUUAUGAUCAAGAAGCCGCAAAAGUCCAAACCUGGUGUCUUUUCCUUCCUGGAUCCACUGGCCUAUGAGAUUUGGAUGUGUAUAGUGUUUGCCUAUAUUGGCGUGAGUGUGGUGCUCUUCCUAGUGAGCCGCUUCAGUCCUUACGAGUGGCAUCUGGAUGAGAACGAUGAGGCCAAAGACCCUCAGAGCCCCCCUGACCCGCCCAACGACUUUGGCAUAUUUAAUAGCCUCUGGUUCUCCCUGGGUGCCUUCAUGCAGCAAGGAUGCGAUAUCUCGCCAAGGUCGCUGUCAGGCCGCAUUGUUGGAGGAGUGUGGUGGUUCUUCACCCUCAUCAUCAUCUCCUCCUACACGGCCAACCUAGCUGCCUUCCUCACUGUGGAGAGGAUGGUUUCUCCCAUCGAAAGUGCCGAGGACUUGGCCAAGCAGACGGAGAUCGCCUAUGGGACGUUGGACUCAGGCUCGACCAAGGAGUUCUUUAGGCGCUCCAAAAUAGCGGUUUAUGAGAAAAUGUGGUCAUACAUGAAAUCAGCAGAGCCGUCGGUGUUUGCCAAGACAACACCUGACGGGGUCUCCCGGGUACGAAAGUCGAAGGGCAAGUUCGCCUUUCUCCUGGAGUCCACUAUGAAUGAGUACAUAGAGCAGCGGAAGCCGUGCGACACCAUGAAAGUGGGCGGCAACCUCGACUCUAAAGGCUACGGCGUGGCCACACCAAAAGGCUCGGCAUUAAGAAAUGCUGUUAACCUGGCAGUGUUAAAACUGAAUGAGCAAGGCCUCUUGGACAAAUUGAAAAACAAAUGGUGGUACGACAAGGGAGAGUGCGGCAGCGGGGGAGGUGACUCUAAGGUCAGCCUCAAUGUCACCAAAGUCGGGUGUCCUAAAGCAGAGUAAUCGGCAAGGCUGACGUCACUUCAAGUUAACAUUUAAGGAUAAAUGUUCCUAAUGGUAAUGUUCAUUUUUACAAAUAUAGUGCCACUGUGAUCAAAUGGAAACCCUUUACUAGCGCAGAGCGAGAGAGUUGGCGUGUGGCUAUGAAAGACAGGCAGCCUUUUUGCCCGUUCUUUUAUAACCACAUGCCAACACGACAGACGUUUUUGUAAUGUUUAAGCUUUUUCAACCUCCACCUUGGCAGCAUAUGCACGCUCCAGUGUGCUCAGGGAACAGCGUUGUCUUGAGGGGACGAAGCAUCACAGGCAAACGUGAGAAUUCUAAUGAGACAAAUGACAAAACAAACAUCUUCUCUCCGGCUGGUCUGGUUUUACUAAUAAGUGUCGCAAGUGGUUUAAGCCAUGCAGGACAUCACCAGGGGCCCCAUUUGCAACAUGUUCUUUGUUACAUAUACUGUGCAAAAGUCAUCCCCAGCUUUGUUGUUUCAGUGACCUUUUGUAGUAGUACGAACAGUAUACAGUCGUGCAAUCGUCCCUCGCCACAGCGCGGUUCAAACUGUGUGGCUUCACUCUAUCACGUUUUUUCAAACAUGUAUUAAUUAAUAAAUCAUGACUAGAUAGAAUCAUGAAUAGAACUCAAGCUACGGCCCCAUUUUGUUUUCCAGCCCGUACCUGCAAGCCUGUUGUGUUGAAAGCACAUUUCCAAAACAUACAUAUCCAGUCAUCCCUUGUUCCAGACCUCACCGUGAUAAGUGAAGUAGGAUUCAAUAUUAAUAAAUUAAAUAUUUUCCUAGUUGGCAUAGGAAACCUGUUUACGACCUUCUAAAUAAGUUUUUAACAUGAUUAGAGCCCUCUAGACAGGAAAUAACACACGUAACACCCACCUUUACAUUUGUAUGAUCCAAUAUAACAGAUAUAAUCAGAGAAAAUAAGACAUAUUAGACAUAAAUAACAAAAACAAAAAUACUCACACGUUAGCAGUUUCUUGUUUUUUUCUGGACAGCGUACUUCCUGCGGUGGCUGUUGUCUCGUCAGUGUAUUGUAAUGGCGGCUUUAAAUGGCUUUACACUUGUAUUACCCAAUAUAGUAGACAUAGUAAGAGUAAAUAAACCAUUUAAGACGUAAAUAAAACACCUGCUCGUGUGUGUAAAUGUAUGCCCUAGGGGACCUUAGUGGCAGGCGGACAGAUGUGUGAAGGACAGGAAAUGACAUCGGACGUUCUGAGUUGAGUUUUAGCUUGUCGUGGGUUAUGGCCCCAACGGUAGCCCGUGUUAUUAAUAUGAUUAUUAUUACUAUUAUGAUUAUUAUGAUUUUAUUAUUAUUAUUGUGCCUGCUGUGAGAUAAUUUAAAUCUGCAAUAAAUGCCUGUUGUAGCGAUCUGGUGCUUGUCUGAUCGAACAAUUACUGACACCUAGUGGCCAAUGUAGAAUACUACAUUCACAAUAAGAACGCUUCUUCUGCUUUGUAUUUGUGUUUUAGUUCAUUUAGUUUAAUACUUAAUUUAGGCCAAAAAUAAGUAUAAUUUUCUCAAAUAUGCAUUUUUUUUUUUACUAAUAAUAGACCAGGAAACACGAACCACGAUGUAGCAAGGGACGACUGUAUAGGCAAUCCUGGAAAAUCUUUUUAAAUUUUUUCAGUUUAUUGAAACUCAUCUUCCUCAAUAUCAGUAGCACUAAAACAGAUUCUGUCUUUAGGGGAUACAAAUUCAGCUUGUUAGCUGUUAAACAAAAAAUAAUUUCUCAGUGUCAUUCAACAUAAAUGAAAUGCAUUUAAACAAAUGCGCUAGCUCGAUGCUAAUUUACACUGAAAAUCCCAUUUAUUUCCAUUAGCAAUUAGCAUUCACAGUUGAACAUGGUGACUUCGAACACCUCCAAGUAUGACAAUUAAAUAGAUAACGAAGAUGCACAUUCCACUGAAACAGCUUAGACUUAUAAGCAUAAAAUACUUACAGGCAAACUCUUUCUAAGGCUCAACAAGACACAGGACUGACACAUUCGACAUCUUAAUGGCAGUAGACUAUUAACAAACACUGUCGGUCUUCUUCUAUGACAGCGGGUUUCAAAUUGUCGCCACCUGUUAGAGUAUCAAUAGAUACCUCGUGGAGAUCAAUAGAACCUUGCUGCACAAAAAAUCCCUUUCUGGAUAAAAACGCAAGAUUAAGACCCGUAACUCACUGAUGACAGAAAGUGAGUUGUGCCCCAGCAGUUGACAAUCACUGCUGGAAAUAUGCCGGAAAUAUGAUUUCCAUUUUUAAUUGCAAUCUGCCAAUUAUUUCACUAAAACCUGAUUUUUAAACAAAGAUGAAUUUUGUCUUUUUUCCAAAAACAGUUGUUGAAAAUCUUAAAUUCAGGGUCCUUUUAUAUUCGGGUCAAUACGGUAAUUUGCCUUUUGUGUGUUUUCAGAUUGUAUUUCACUAAGAAGACUUGGUCAGGAUAACAUUGCUAGAACAACAAGCCUGAGGAUAAGACUGCUGCACAGUGCUGUCUUUCUCUUCUGUGAUAUUUUUGUCCCCAUGCUCUUAUUGUGUGCAUGAUGUUGUUUACUUCACAAAUGAGGCCCCUGAUGUUAAGCACCGGGCACACGCCCGUCCCGCCGUGGAUCCAUCUCUGCCACUUUGCUACCGAUCUUCGAGCUUGCACCAUAUCAAUCUCACAUGCAGCAUUAUGUCGGAAAAGAGGAGGCCGCGCUUUACUUUGCUGUCUAUCGAUCCAUGUCAUUCUCUCCUCUCCUUUGCUCUCCUCUCUGAGUGAGCAGGAUAUGGAUACUCAUGAGGGGGUGAAUGCAAAGCGAGCCGACUCCUCUCGCCUGCUGUUUGCUUCAAUUCCUCGCUUGGAGAGAAAGUAGACGAGCACUGUGAGACUGCCACAUUUCUUUGUCCUUGUUUCACUUUCAGACAUGCACUGGUGGGUAAUCUUACAGCAAGGUGGAACUAUAUUGUGUACAACAACCACAGACGCUUUUACCGCGACAUAUAACAAAUCAUCAUACCAGCUAUUUAAACAGAUUAGAAUCUUUGCUUUGUAUAGGGAAGUAUAACAAGUACCGUAGUAUUUUAUGUGCGUAUUUGGGUUUCAGAGCCAGGAUUUCGUUUGCACUGUUCAUGUAUUGUGUUGCUCUGUGUCGCCUUUCAACAUUUCCAAGCGGAUGUUGCUGCCUUGCAGACAAACUGAAGGGUAAAGUUAUGAUGUCGGCGUCAUUGGGCUGCAACACAAGUACGAGUGGCGCUUGUGUGUGCGAUGGAACAAAUCCAAAACAACAACAAAAACCACGUCUGUCACACAUUAGGAAGAUAAAAAUAAGAAUCCAAUAUUUCUGCCACUGCAUUGUUGUCAAUUGUUCAGGCGCCAGUGAUGCUCAGCAAACACAUGCAGCCUUUUACACUAUUUGAUGAUUGAAGAUCGUGUCAACCAUGUGAUUACUUCAUUGCCACAUAGCUUCCUUUCGUACAAGUCAUCCGACUGGCAAAUGUUUGGUUUUGCAUGAGAGGAAAUUAAUUAAAAUCAGUUUUAAUUACAUUAAUGAUGACCCAAUAUUAAUAGUAAUAUUUACAAUAUACAUGUUAUAUAAUGUAUAUCAUAUAAAUAUAGUAUAUGAGUAUUUUCUUUUGAUCUGAAACACAAAGAAAAUAUUUAUCUUGGUUUUUGGAUGAAAAUGUAAAGGAAAUUUAAAGUAUGUAGUUACAUUAUUAAUACACUAAUAUUUACAAUAUAUACAUUGUGUGAAUAUUUUGUUUCUUUUUAUCUGAAACAAAGAAAACAUUUUCGUGUUGGUUUGCGGUAAAAGUGUAGAUGAGAGGACAUUAGAGAGGAAAUUAAAUAAAAUUAAAUUAAUUAUGACCCAAUAUUAAUACUGACCUUUAAAUAUAAAUAUUACAUAAUAUUUUAUAAAUGUAAUAGUUUUUUCUUUUUAUCUGGAACACAAAGAAAACAUUUGUGUUGCUUUCGAAUAAAAAUGUCAGAUGAAAGAAAAUUACAUUAAUUAUUAUUACCCAAUAUUAAUAUGAAUAUUUACAAUAUAAAUAUAUAUAUAUUAUAUGAUAUAUGUUAUGUGAAUAUAAUACAGUUUUCAUCUUUUUAUCUGAAACACAAAGAAGAUAUUUGUGUUGGUUUUCAGAUAAAAAUGUAGGUAAAAGGAAAUGAUAUAAUUAUAACAAAUUCAUUUUGAUUACACAAUAUUAUUACUAAUAUUUACAAUAUAAAAUAUAAUGUAUGUUAUGUGGCUAUAAUAGAGUUUUUAUCUUUUUAUCUGAAACACUAAAAAACAUGCACAGCAGAGGAGAGGAAAUGUGAUGAAUUAUUACCCAAUAAUAAAUACAAUUACUACCCAAACAUGUAUACUAACAUGUACAAGAUAAAUAUAAAUAUAUUUCUAAGUUCAUAAAUACACAGGACUUGAACAAAUAUUUUAGAAACAUAAGAGCGUUUUUGUCUUUUAAUCUGAGACACAAAGAAAACAUUUGUGUUUAACAUUUGUGAUCAAAUGUAGAUCAAAUGAAAUUAGAGAGAAAAUUUGAUGAAAAUGAUUACCCAAUAUUAAAACUAAUAUUUACAAUAUAAAUAUAUUAUAGAAGACUACCCAAUAUUAGACGAAUAUUAGACGUUAAACAAUGCAACGCAAAAACAACACUCACUUGGACAAACGACACGUGAUUGUGUAGACUUUGUACUGUAUAAUAACUAUGAGAUGAGUGGUGGAGAAGAGUGUGUUCAGACCUCAAGCCCAUCUGGCAACAUUACGUAUUUGAAAUCUGAAUAAUCCCAGGCCCGCUGUGGAUGACUUUAGAUUCAUCACAAUUCACUAUUUUCUACUUAAUUAUCAUCAGUGUGCUUCUCGGUGGCACCUUGUGCAAAGCAUCUUGAGAUUCAUCUUGCAAAACCUAAGACGUAGACUGACUGAGGCCCCAGCAUUCCUCCAGGAAUCCCAAGGAAGACGCCCUGCAGCGAGUGCAAACUACUUUUUGUUGGUCUAUUGUUCCGUCGUGGCAUUUUUUAGUACUUAAACUUCCCGAUAAGAGGACCAAUAUGUUAUUUAGAGCCAUCCUUCUUCAUUGAGUUGGUUUCCCAAAUGGGUGGUCACUGUGCGCUGUGCAUGCAUUCAUUGCGUUAACAUUUAGUUAAGGGGUUAAGGCAGGGGUCGGGAACCUUUUUUGCUAAGAGAGCCAAGAAAGCCACAUAUUUUUAAAUGUAUUUCCGUGAGAGCCAUACACAACUAACAACAACUGACAACACAACAAAAUGUGUGCAUUAUUAAGCAUGACCAACAAUUUUAGAGUAUAAUAAGUCUCUGAAUUUAUUAUUUUUAAUAAUGCCGUUAUAUUGAAGCUAACCAAUAAUAAAUACUGUAAGAUACUUCUUACCAUUAAUGUGACUUCUGUGCUUGCGGUAGAAAAUGGAUGGAUGGAUUAAAGUGCGUAAAGAAGUUUUAUAUUUUGAAUGUUAUUUUUAACACUGUGAUUUCCGUCAAAUAAAAUUACAACGAAAAAAUGUGAUUGUGUUAAAGCCAGAGAGCCAGAUGCAACCACCAGAAGAGCCACAUCUGGCUCCCGAGCCAUAGGUUCCCUACCCCUGGGUUAAGGUGUUCAUUUUGACACCUCAGUUUUUUAUCUCCGAUGGGUGCAAGCACAUAUUGAAACGUUUGUAAGGGUGCAGGUCACAAGAAAGUUGGGAUUAAUGGACAUAAAAUUCCCAUAGACACGUUCCAUAUUGUUUGAUGGCGCUAUCUGCAGGGGAAAAAGAGUGCUGCAGCUAUGAAUCUAGCAGAGGGCGCUGCCUCACAGGUCAAUUCACUCAAGAUUUUCCAGCAGGAAGAUGCUUCGACAAGACGUGAUGUUUGGUAACUCCACGUUUUGUAAAUACAGUACUGUAUGCUGUAUGCCUGUCUGUAAUUGUGAGAGGCGUGUUAUAGCGUACUUGGGACUGAUUAUUUUUAUUUUUUAUAUUACAUGUACUGCAGCAAGCCACAUAAGUCCAGUGUUGCACAUGUCCAAAUUUAAAAAUUCAAAGCCACCUCACCCGUCAAGAAUUAUUCCUUCAAAGUUGUGUUUACUUUGCUCAGUCCAAUUUUUUUUCUUUAGAGUUGAUAACACUAUAAUUGCUUCAAUGAAAACCUUCGUCUUCUACUGCUGCUUCCUUUUUGACGUGUACGCAUCGCUGUUGUCCGCUGCACAGUGCUGCAUAAAAAAGCACUUCUUUAGUGAGACUGAAAGGUUUACAUUAUUUGGGUGAUGUUUGGCGAACCAAAUGAAAUGCUUUGGAUGAGUUUAUUGAGAACGGCUGGUUUAGAGGAUUAAAAAUUGGUAUUUUAUGGGUGCAUUCAUUAUUUGUAGUUUUUCGCAAUUCGCUGGGAUCAUUGCAUAUUUUUAUUUAUAUUUUUAAUAUAAUAGAAAUACUGUAUAUAUAUUAUAUACCACGGAGUAUUAGGGCCGAAUUGUAAAAAAAAAAAAAAAAAAAAUUGGAGAUUUUGAGAAUAAAUUCGUAAAUUUCCGAGCCAAAAAAGUUCUCAAUUUACGAGAAAAACACUUGUAAAUUGACGAGAAUAAAGUUGUACAUUUACGAGAAAAAGGCCAAAGGUCACAUAAGUCCCCCCUUUUCAUAGCUGUCUCAGGCGACGCCUGUUACGAUGGAGUAUUAAAAUAAUGUGAGAUUUCGAGAACACAUUUACGACAAUAAAGUCGUACAUUUACGAGAAUGAACUCGUAAUAUUACGAGAGUAAAGUCGUACAUUUACGAGGAAAAACCCAUAACAGAACCUGUAACAGAAAAACCUGUAACAGAAACGUUACAGGCGUUGCCUGAGACAGCUAUGAAAAGGGGGGACUUAUGCAUUAUUACGACUUUUUUUUCUUGUAAAUUGACGACUUUUUUUGAAGGGCUAGACAUGCUCAUCUGUUUGUGCUCAGCUGCUCUGUUUCGCUGCCACGGUAGAAAUAAAAGAUUGCUAUUUUUUUCUCUGACACGAAUGACACGUAAAUUUACGACUUUAUUCUCGUAAGUUUCGGAUUUUUUCUCUUUUUUGUUUUUUCUCAAAAUUUAAGAUUUUUUUUUCAAUGUGGCCCCUAAUACUUCGUCGUAAUUAAAUAUAUAUGUAUAUAUAUAUAAAUAUAAUAUAUAAUAAUAUAAAUAUUUUUAUUGUAUAUGUUUAUAUAUACAUUAUAGCUAUUGUCAUUUUUUUAAAUGUGUUUUUGUCCUGUCCAGCCUUUAGGGCAGAUAGUAUUGUUGAUCUAAAUGCCCUCACAUGCUCAAGUGUGAGACACACUUCCCCUGUUAUACAGAAUUUAUUUGACUUUGAUGUUUUGUUGUUAUGCAAAUUUGGAGUGGCCGGACCGGAGCAGGAGGGGAUAGAGAAGAAGAGAAUAGAAAACAAGGAAGGAGUGCAGGAAUGAGAGGGGGACAAAAGAGACAGAGCCCUGUCUGAUUUCCAAAAUCAUCAUAACUUUACCUUUCAAAUUGCUCUGAAAAUCGUCCACUUGAUGUCAGGCAUGACAUGAUUGACGUGUGUGUGCGUGAGCGCAUGCGCGCGCGUGCGCACGGUGAAUACAAUAUAUUUGAUGCUGUCAGAUUACAAACCCUGCAACCUUUUCUGAAAUAAGGAAAUACGUCUGGGAAUGUGGCAGCCGAGGAAAUUGAGCUUGAUCGCAGAAGUCCCAUGAAAGAAACCAUCCUUUCAUCGGCACGCGCGCGCCAAAUCGCCUUUGGUUUUGUGAGACACGAGCUGACGAGAGCUGCGCGUUUGUUGUUCGUCAACAAAGGGUUCCUGUUCGAUCCCAGCCUGCGCACGGCAAUAAAGAGCUUUGGAAGUGCAUUUCAUUGUGAGGAAGUCAUGCAGCCGCUUCUUCAAAACUUGUGAUCAGCGUGUGCCGAUUGCUCAAAGCGAUACAGGUAGGGUCUGGCACGCUAGGGUACGUAUUGUAGGCUCAGGUCAUAGUCUAUACAUAUACAUAUACAUAUACAUAUACAUAUACAUAUACAUAUACAUAUACUGUAUCAUGUAUUUCUCUAUCUAGUCUUUGCUUGCUACCUGUAUGUCUUGGCCAGCACCCUACUUCCUAUCGCUUUGUAUCAAGUAGUUGAAAAGUCCAAUAACAUAAAAUAACAUAAUGCAAUGUUAUUUAUGUUAUUUCCCACGUGAAGAACUCCUGUAAACCUUGCAGUAUUGAAACUCAGUGAACAAGGCAUCUUAGACAAGCUGAAAAACAAAUGGUGGUACGAUAAAGGUGAAUGUGGAACCAAGGACUCGGGAAGUAAGGACAAGACAAGUGCACUAAGCCUGAGCAACGUGGCAGGGGUCU
Dunckerocampus dactyliophorus (ringed pipefish) is the source of this 10996-nucleotide RNA transcript. It is a transcript of the gene named glutamate receptor, ionotropic, AMPA 3a, with no coding region annotated. Lineage: Eukaryota; Metazoa; Chordata; Actinopteri; Syngnathiformes; Syngnathidae. The record is from RefSeq and is a predicted model, not a curated record. The transcript has 15 exons.